RNAcentral lists this ribosomal RNA (116 nucleotides) under Gouania willdenowi (blunt-snouted clingfish). The record is from RNAcentral. Lineage: Eukaryota; Metazoa; Chordata; Actinopteri; Blenniiformes; Gobiesocidae.
UUCUGUGGCCAUACCAGCCUGUCAUUGCCUGAUCUCACUAGAUCUCAGAAGCUAAGCAGAUCCGGGCCUGAUUAGUAGUUGGUUGGGAGACCACAGAAAUCCAGGUGCCACAGUGG